RNAcentral lists this ribosomal RNA (254 nucleotides) under uncultured Acinetobacter sp. RNAcentral's name for it is "partial 16S ribosomal RNA". It matches the Rfam family "Bacterial small subunit ribosomal RNA", at positions 524 to 776 of the family's 1533-position model. The record is from RNAcentral. Lineage: Bacteria; Pseudomonadati; Pseudomonadota; Gammaproteobacteria; Moraxellales; Moraxellaceae.
UACAGAGGGUGCGAGCGUUAAUCGGAUUUACUGGGCGUAAAGCGUACGUAGGCGGCUUUUUAAGUCGGAUGUGAAAUCCCUGAGCUUAACUUAGGAAUUGCAUUCGAUACUGGUUGGCUAGAGUAUGGGAGAGGAUGGUAGAAUUCCAGGUGUAGCGGUGAAAUGCGUAGAGAUCUGGAGGAAUACCGAUGGCGAAGGCAGCCAUCUGGCCUAAUACUGACGCUGAGGUACGGAAAGCAUGGGGAGCAAACAGG